This 230-nucleotide long non-coding RNA is filed under the name Elaeis guineensis (African oil palm). RNAcentral describes it as "long non-coding RNA (EGUI_LNC012936)". Lineage: Eukaryota; Viridiplantae; Streptophyta; Magnoliopsida; Arecales; Arecaceae. The record is from RNAcentral.
GUAUAAUACAUGAUUAGUGACUGAUGUUCCUUUUCUCAUUCGAGCGUUGAAGAUGGCACAACUAGUCUUAUACCUCUCAACGUCAUCGGGUGUGCCAAAGGACUCGUUCAAUAUUUGCAACAUAUUCUAUGGCAGAGCAUUCUCAAAAUAAUAGCUGAACUCAUCAUUCAUUGCCGCUAGCAUAAUAUAACGAACCAUAGUUCGAUCGUUGAGCCACUUCUGAUAAGUGU